RNAcentral lists this ribosomal RNA (468 nucleotides) under uncultured bacterium. RNAcentral's name for it is "partial 16S ribosomal RNA". It matches the Rfam family "Bacterial small subunit ribosomal RNA", at positions 28 to 507 of the family's 1533-position model. The record is from RNAcentral.
GACGAACGCUGGCGGCGUGCUUAACACAUGCAAGUCGAACGGAAAGGCCCUGCUUUUGUGGGGUGCUCGAGUGGCGAACGGGUGAGUAACACGUGAGUAACCUGCCCUUGACUUUGGGAUAACUUCAGGAAACUGGGGCUAAUACCGGAUAGGAGCUCCUGCUGCAUGGUGGGGGUUGGAAAGUUUCGGCGGUUGGGGAUGGACUCGCGGCUUAUCAGCUUGUUGGUGGGGUAGUGGCUUACCAAGGCUUUGACGGGUAGCCGGCCUGAGAGGGUGACCGGCCACAUUGGGACUGAGAUACGGCCCAGACUCCUACGGGAGGCAGCAGUGGGGAAUAUUGCACAAUGGGCGGAAGCCUGAUGCAGCAACGCCGCGUGCGGGAUGACGGCCUUCGGGUUGUAAACCGCUUCCGCCUGUGACGAAGCAUGAGUGACGGUAAUGGGUAAAGAAGCACCGGCUAACUACGUG